This 1646-nucleotide unclassified non-coding RNA is filed under the name Cimex lectularius (bed bug). RNAcentral's name for it is "interleukin enhancer-binding factor 3, transcript variant X3". The record is from RNAcentral. Lineage: Eukaryota; Metazoa; Arthropoda; Insecta; Hemiptera; Cimicidae.
UCGAUUUGUUUGGGUUUGGGUUAAAGUCUUACCAGUAAUAUUCAGGAUUUGACAAGAUGUCCAAGUACUUAUGAUUUUUCAAUUAUGAUUACUUCGCAGCUAAGUGUUUGCUUUGAUUUUAUUAAAAGUAUAAAUUCUUGGACCUUUAACGUGGUGUUUCGAUUUACAUUGUUGACUCGAAUCGAUGAUAGAUCAUAAUGAUCAGCGUGGAAGUGCGCAGUUGUGGAGGGGAGAAGAAUCGCGCUCCCAUCCUGCAACGGGGUCGGCACAGUCCAUUUCCGUUCCGGCGUCUCCUCUCUCUUUGUCCGCCAUUUUCGCCUUCUCCUGCCCGGUCGCCGAUUGUCUUCGCCAAAUCCGAGCCCGAGUUGACAAGUAAAAAUGGAAAGACGGGGUGGAUUCAGAGGCGGUCGUGGAGGACCUAUGAGAGGUGGCACACGUGGUCGGGGUGGCUUUACUAGUGACCAACCCCGAGGAAGGGGGCGUGGAGGAACAGGCCCAGGCAUGGGAGGAGGCCGUGGAACAUUCGUAAAACGCGAAGGCAUGGAAGGAACCCGGGGUGGAUUCCGAGGCGGGAGAGGUGGCCCUGAAGGCAGGGGACGAGGCGGCUUCAUGAGGGGCAACACCCGAGGGAACGGUGGCCCUCCACGCGGCGUACCGAGGAGCCGAGGAGGCCCUCCGAUGCCAGGCAAAAGACUGCUCGGCCCCCCAAAUCCCGUUUCUAACAAAAGGAGUAGAUUUGACGGGCAAUCUGAAUACGCAAAAUCCAACGGAUAUUCAGCACCAUACCCCUCUUACGACAACCAUCCUCCGCAACCAUCAUACGGGUCUCAGCCAGGUCCCGGUUAUGGUUCUUAUUCCUCUUACGAUACCCAUCCCACAGCCCCAGUUUAUUCUACCCAGACACCUGGAUAUGGUGAAUCUUAUGCUGAUGGCUAUGGUGGACGUGGUUAUGGUGACAGCGAUGGUUACAGCCAGCCCGGAGGGAACUAUUACGGCGGUAGCAGCGGCCAACCCGGUGGCGAUUACAACUACACACCAGCUCCUGACAUGAGAUACCCAUCGCAACCACCUGCAUAUCAGGAUCAGUAUGCUAAACCUCCACGCCCCUAUGAACAAUCUUACAGCACCAGUGGCGGUGGCGGAAGCUACACUUAUAACAACACUUAUCAGCCUGCUGGUGGCUACGGCGAGAGGCCUUAUCCUUCGUCAAGUGGUGGUUAUGGAUGAUGAAAAGAAAUCUUGGGAUUUGUCUGUUGAGCGCAAAAGCUUUUUGAUAUUCGCUGAGGCCUAACGACACGAACUCCGAGCGAUGGUUUUGUUUGUGACGAGACAACCUCAUGGAUCUCCUUCCUGCCAUGCGUGUGCAUAUGAUGAUGGAACGAUUGAUUUCUCAUUACUUACAACAGAGAAAUUGUUCAUCAAAGGCUCAUCAUGUCUAUUAAGUUAAAUUUCUCAAUUAUAAAAUGUACAAAUUUGUUAAAAGAUGUCCAAACAAGGUUUUUUAAUUUAUUGACAAAAUCGACCAAUAAUUGUAAUGAUGUAAUGAACACCUACAUCAUUCACUAUGUCAUUAAAAGGUUUUUUAAUGUUUAUAAUACCAGCAAUAAAAAGACGUCAGGGGGUGGCCACAACGGUUUAGGCGUUGA